RNAcentral lists this transfer RNA (88 nucleotides) under Actinobacillus pleuropneumoniae serovar 3 str. JL03. RNAcentral describes it as "tRNA-Leu". It matches the Rfam family "tRNA". Rfam says of the family: Transfer RNA (tRNA) molecules are approximately 80 nucleotides in length. Their secondary structure includes four short double-helical elements and three loops (D, anti-codon, and T loops). The record is from RNAcentral. Lineage: Bacteria; Pseudomonadati; Pseudomonadota; Gammaproteobacteria; Pasteurellales; Pasteurellaceae.
GCGGGAAUGGCGAAAUUGGUAGACGCACCAGAUUUAGGUUCUGGCGCCGUGAGGUGUGUGGGUUCAAGUCCCUCUUCCCGCACCAUUU